This 252-nucleotide ribosomal RNA is filed under the name uncultured bacterium. RNAcentral describes it as "partial 16S ribosomal RNA". It matches the Rfam family "Bacterial small subunit ribosomal RNA", at positions 524 to 776 of the family's 1533-position model. The record is from RNAcentral.
UACAGAGGGCCCAAGCGUUGUUCGGAUUCACUGGGCGUAAAGGGUGCGUAGGCGGUCGGGUAAGUCUGACGUGAAAUCUCCAAGCUCAACUUGGAAAUGGCGUCGGAUACUAUUCGGCUCGAGGAAUGGAGGGGAGACUGGAAUUCUCGGUGUAGCAGUGAAAUGCGUAGAUAUCGAGAGGAACACAGUGGCGAAGGCGAGUCUCUGGACAUUUCCUGACGCUGAGGCACGAAAGCCAGGGGAGCAAACGGG